Lontra canadensis (Northern American river otter) is the source of this 359-nucleotide non-coding RNA. NCBI's taxonomy places the organism in Eukaryota, Metazoa, Chordata, Mammalia, Carnivora, Mustelidae. The record is from the annotation of a RefSeq genome assembly.
CGGAGUGCUGGGUACAUGCACCAUGGCCUGGACCCCUCUCUCACUCCUCUUCCUCGCUUUCUGCGCAGGCUCCAUGGUCUCCAGUGAGCUGACUAAGCCACACUCAGUGUCAGUGGCCCUGGGACAGAUGGCUACAAUCACCUGCACUGGAGAGGAACUGGACAAUGUUGUACAGUGGUACGAGCAGAAGCCACGCCAAGCCCCUCUGAUGGUCAUUUAUGAUGAUAGCGAGAGGACCUCAGGGAUCCCAGAGUGAUUCUCUGGCUCCACAUCAGGAAACACAGCCACCCUGACCAUCAGUGGGGUCCAGGAUGAGGAUGAGGCUGACUAUUACUGUCAGUCCUAUGACAGCAGUGGUG